AACGAACGCUGGCGGCAGGCCUAACACAUGCAAGUCGAGCGAGGACUUCGGUCCUAGCGGCGGACGGGUGAGUAACGCGUGGGAACGUGCCCUUUGGUACGGAAUAGCCCCGGGAACGUGGGAGUAAUACCGUAUGGUGUCUUCGGACUAAAGAUUUAUCGCCAAAGGAUCGGCCCGCGUUGGAUUAGGUAGUUGGUGGGGUAAUGGCCUACCAAGCCGACGAUCCAUAGCUGGUUUGAGAGGAUGAUCAGCCACACUGGGACUGAGACACGGCCCAGACUCCUACGGGAGGCAGCAGUGGGGAAUCUUAGACAAUGGGGGCAACCCUGAUCUAGCCAUGCCGCGUGAGUGAUGAAGGCCCUAGGGUUGUAAAGCUCUUUCAGCUGGGAAGAUAAUGACGGUACCAGCAGAAGAAGCCCCGGCUAACUCCGUG
RNAcentral lists this ribosomal RNA (433 nucleotides) under uncultured bacterium. RNAcentral describes it as "bacterial SSU rRNA". It matches the Rfam family "Bacterial small subunit ribosomal RNA", at positions 29 to 507 of the family's 1533-position model. The record is from RNAcentral.